Molecule: small nucleolar RNA, 81 nt
Organism: Diospyros lotus (date-plum)
Lineage: Eukaryota; Viridiplantae; Streptophyta; Magnoliopsida; Ericales; Ebenaceae
Source: RefSeq, a predicted model, not a curated record
CUGCAUGAUGAAAAGCAGGGUAUGCAACACCAAAUUGACUAGAGAAAGAUGUAGCAAAAGACCUCCUAGUAGUCUCUGGAA